RNAcentral lists this ribosomal RNA (1407 nucleotides) under Triticum aestivum (bread wheat). Its description in RNAcentral is "partial small subunit ribosomal RNA". The record is from RNAcentral. Lineage: Eukaryota; Viridiplantae; Streptophyta; Magnoliopsida; Poales; Poaceae.
AUGAAAGGAGAGAUCAACAAGUCAGACCUGAUGAAAAACCUUUCUGGUAUCUUCUGCAAAAACAAACAAUGGACGUGGCAAAUCAGGCCACUGUCAGAUAAGAAGUUCCUGGUUAGAUUCCCCCCCUGGAAAGAUGUUGAUGAGUUGAUUGAGUUCCCUGCUUUUGAUCUACCCAUUGAUGGUGUCUCUGUGUCUGUGAAAAAAUGGACUGGCUCAAUCGACCCAUUCAGUGAACUUACUGAAGCCUGGGUGAUUGUUGAGGGGAUGUCCUCUAAAUGGUGUACAUGGAAAGUGCUAUCCCAAAUAGCCUCAUGCUUUGGAAUUCUUGUAGAUGUCGACUGGAAUGGCCUGAUGAAGAGCUUCUAUGAGAAAGUGAGGAUCAAAAUUGCCUGCAGAGACCCAACAAAAAUCCCCUUUGAAAGAAUUAUGGAGAUGAGGAAAAAACUGUAUAUCCUAUCCUUUACUGUGGAGGGCUUUGACCAGGUGGGUGCUGAUGACCCCAAUGAUGAUGAUGGCCCCACUGAUAUAACAAUAGAUGAGGACAACAAGACAACAGAGGAGGAGGAACUGGAUACAGACUUGCUGGAUGAUGGAGAGGAACCCAUUGAUGCUCUAGACCUUGCCAACAGAGCCCCCACAAAAACUCCAACUGGGAAGAAAACAGUUAAUGAUGGUGCCUCAUUUCAUCCCCAUGCUCUACUGGAGGCAUGCUUCUCUCCUGUGAGAGUCAACAGGAAACCUGACCAAGAUGAUAUGGGCCCAAGCAGAUCCUCAAUACCUUUUGCUGAGGCAAUCAAAUAUCUCAGCACCCCACUCAACAGACCUGAUGAAAACACCAUGGUUACUACAUCACCAAGUGGGAUUGCUGCUACCACUUCCCCUGUGUCUGCCCAAAAGAUGUAUUGCUCUGGUCUGCUGAAAGAACUGGAAGAUUCUUCUUCUGACACUGACAGUGAAUCUGUUGAACCUGAGGAGGAAAUGAUUACUGUUGAGGCACACAUAGCUAGUGGCCUGAAGAUGAUGGAGCUCAUGGAUAAAACUAAAGGGAAGGCUACACCAAAAACCAAGUGGGGACCAGUGAUUGCUCCAAGGCUGAGUUCCAGAGUCCACAAUAGGCAAAACAUCAUGGAAAAAGUUGUAGCCUACAAAAUGAAGAAAAACCUGGAGAUCCCACCUACCUUUAAAAGGUGUACAGUGGACAAGCACGCGUGCAAUCUUGGCAAGGAUCAGCUCGUCGCUGCAUCAAUGGAAGGUGCUAUGUGUGGGCGACCAAUCGGUGCUGCUGAGAAGAUGCAUCCAACUCCUAGAUCGGCGAAGAGGCGAGCUGCUCGGGAUUGCAUGGGAGUCAGCCUGAGAGCUUGCAAGAGAAAGAUCGAAGAGGAGAUGCUGAAGAUUCACCCAGAGUGA